GUAGGUAUAGUUUAAUAUAAACGUUAGAUUGUGGAUCUAAAAAUAGGGGUUAAACCCCCCUUAUCCACC
This 69-nucleotide transfer RNA is filed under the name Pardachirus pavoninus (Pacific sole). RNAcentral's name for it is "tRNA-His". It matches the Rfam family "tRNA". Rfam says of the family: Transfer RNA (tRNA) molecules are approximately 80 nucleotides in length. Lineage: Eukaryota; Metazoa; Chordata; Actinopteri; Pleuronectiformes; Soleidae. The record is from RNAcentral.